GCGCUGACACUUCAAAGUCUGGCAAGAAUUGCAGCUCCUCCAUGAGCAGUUCAGUUCAGCAAUCGGCAGCAACCAGGCGGAUCGUCCACAGAGUAUGCACAGGAGGACGAAGUCCCGGGGCUGGUGUUUCCUCAACUCCGCACACCUAGGAAUCACGCACAGUAAAUUAUUAUCGAAACCUGAGUACAGUCUUAAUGAUAAAAAAGAUGGAAGCAGACAGAGG
This 223-nucleotide long non-coding RNA is filed under the name Fukomys damarensis (Damara mole-rat). RNAcentral's name for it is "lncRNA (ENSFDAG00000033092.1)". Lineage: Eukaryota; Metazoa; Chordata; Mammalia; Rodentia; Bathyergidae. The record is from RNAcentral.